This 431-nucleotide ribosomal RNA is filed under the name Usazoros hubbardi. Its description in RNAcentral is "partial 16S ribosomal RNA". Lineage: Eukaryota; Metazoa; Arthropoda; Insecta; Zoraptera; Zorotypidae. The record is from RNAcentral.
GUCUUUUUGAAUUAAUUUUAAGGUKUAAUCUGCCCAAUGUGUAUUGAAUGGCCGCGGUAUAUUGACUGUGCAAAGGUAGCAUAAUCAUUAGUUUAUUAAUUGUAAACUUGUAUGAAUGAUUGGAUGAGGUUAAAGCUUUUUUGUUUGUAAGUUUUGAAUUUUAUUUUUCAUUUAAAAAGAUGAAUUGUGUUUGUUAGACGAGAAGACCCUAUAGAGUUUUAUAUAAGAUUUGUCAGUAGAGGAAUGUAUAAGUAAAUAUUUGGUUGGGGUAAUCGAUUUAUUUAAUUAAUUUUGUUAGUUUAAACUUGGUAUGAGGGUAAAUGAGCUAUAAAUAAGUUGUAGAUUAAAUUACCUUAGGGAUAACAGGGUAAUACACAUUUGGAGUUCGCAUCUAAAUUUGUGUUUGCUACCUCGAUGUUGGAUUAAGAUUA